This 301-nucleotide ribosomal RNA is filed under the name uncultured bacterium. RNAcentral's name for it is "partial 16S ribosomal RNA". It matches the Rfam family "Bacterial small subunit ribosomal RNA", at positions 509 to 807 of the family's 1533-position model. The record is from RNAcentral.
CAGCAGCCGCGGUAAUACGGAGGGGGCUAGCGUUGUUCGGAAUUACUGGGCGUAAAGUGCACGUAGGCGGCUUGGUAAGUUAGAGGUGAAAGCCCGGAGCUCAACUCCGGAAUUGCCUUUAAGACUGCCGAGCUAGCAGGUGAGAGAGGUAAGUGGAAUUCCGAGUGUAGAGGUGAAAUUCGUAGAUAUUCGGAAGAACACCAGUGGCGAAGGCGGCUUACUGGCUCAUACUGGACGCUGAGGUGCGAAAGCGUGGGGAGCAAACAGGAUUAGAUACCUCAGUAGUCCCUGUCUCUUAUAC